AUGCACGCCGGCGGCGUGCCUCAUACAUGCCAGUCGAGCGAACAGACGAGGAGCUUGCUCCUCUGACGUUAGCGGCGGACGGGUGAGUAACACGUGGAUAACCUACCUAUAAGACUGGGAUAACUUCGGGAAACCGGAGCUAAUACCGGAUAAUAUAUUGAACCGCAUGGUUCAAUAGUGAAAGACGGUUUUGCUGUCACUUAUAGAUGGAUCCGCGCCGCAUUAGCUAGUUGGUAAGGUAACGGCUUACCAAGGCAACGAUGCGUAGCCGACCUGAGAGGGUGAUCGGCCACACUGGAACUGAGACACGGUCCAGACUCCUACGGGAGGCAGCAGUAGGGAAUCUUCCGCAAUGGGCGAAAGCCUGACGGAGCAACGCCGCGUGAGUGAUGAAGGUCUUCGGAUCGUAAAACUCUGUUAUUAGGGAAGAACAAAUGUGUAAGUAACUAUGCACGUCUUGACGGUACCUAAUCAGAAAGCCACGGCUAACUACGUG
This 496-nucleotide ribosomal RNA is filed under the name uncultured bacterium. RNAcentral describes it as "partial 16S ribosomal RNA". It matches the Rfam family "Bacterial small subunit ribosomal RNA", at positions 29 to 507 of the family's 1533-position model. The record is from RNAcentral.